AUUACAAAUUUAAAAAGGUUGGGGUCUAUUCGACAAUAAUAAUUGUUCUGUCAACCACGUUUUAUUAAUUGCUGGUUAUAUAUAGAUUUUGAACUUUGCACUCUCAGCGAGCAUUGAUGACAUUUUUAGCUCUUGAAUAAAGUACGCAAUCAGUACUUUAGACAUUUCAAUGCGAAUAACUCAAAGCCCCAUUGCAUUAAUAUUUAGCACAAUCAUGAUCCAUUGCCUUGAACUACGAUUUAACCUUGUAGCGAUAAUAGAAAUCGUGAUUCCAUAA
Molecule: unclassified non-coding RNA, 277 nt
Filed under: Hevea brasiliensis (rubber tree)
Lineage: Eukaryota; Viridiplantae; Streptophyta; Magnoliopsida; Malpighiales; Euphorbiaceae
Source: RNAcentral